UAUUCCCUAGACAAGCAUAUAUAAUAGUUAAUUUCAAUAUAGUGGGAUGGCUUAUAUCUUCAACAUAUCUAAUUCAAUCUCUUUGCAUUUUCUCAUUUUGUUGAUAGUAACCUUUACUUUGGUUAUGAAGUUGGCUCCAGGUUAGUGCAGAUAUGACGAUGAGAAAAUUGGGAGACAGGCCAACUACACCUCCGCCACCACAGCUUAACAGAAGCCCAGGCCCAGCCCAAAUAUAAAGUCAAUACUGGCUUUAAGCUCUCAAUUUGUUAAGAUUUUUAAAGCCUAAAUUUAGGGCAAAAAUAUAUAUAAAUAAGAUUGUGGAUGCAUUUGUUUAAACAC
Trifolium pratense (red clover) is the source of this 339-nucleotide long non-coding RNA. RefSeq lists it as uncharacterized. The record is from RefSeq and is a predicted model, not a curated record. Lineage: Eukaryota; Viridiplantae; Streptophyta; Magnoliopsida; Fabales; Fabaceae. The transcript has 2 exons.